This 301-nucleotide ribosomal RNA is filed under the name uncultured bacterium. RNAcentral's name for it is "partial 16S ribosomal RNA". It matches the Rfam family "Bacterial small subunit ribosomal RNA", at positions 509 to 807 of the family's 1533-position model. The record is from RNAcentral.
CAGCCGCCGCGGGAAUACGUAGGGUGCGAGCGUUAAUCGGAAUUACUGGGCGUAAAGCGUGCGCAGGCGGUUAUAUAAGACAGAUGUGAAAUCCCCGGGCUCAACCUGGGACCUGCAUUUGUGACUGUAUAGCUAGAGUACGGUAGAGGGGGAUGGAAUUCCGCGUGUAGCAGUGAAAUGCGUAGAUAUGCGGAGGAACACCGAUGGCGAAGGCAAUCCCCUGGACCUGUACUGACGCUCAUGCACGAAAGCGUGGGGAGCAAACAGGAUUAGAUACCCGUGUAGUCCCUGUCUCUUAUAC